Non-coding RNA from Pelobates cultripes (western spadefoot toad), 1252 nucleotides. The record is from the annotation of a GenBank genome assembly. Lineage: Eukaryota; Metazoa; Chordata; Amphibia; Anura; Pelobatidae.
GAAAAAUAAAGGUUAUAUAUACAAACUUUUAGUCAAAGAAUAUUCUGCAAAAUAAAUAAAAAUAUAUAUGGUGCAGUAUGUUCAGUAGAAGUGUCAGGGUGAGGGUGGUAGAUGUAUAAUUAGACAUGUCUCCCUUUCAGAUAGGGCCAGGAAGUGUAGAUAAAUGGCUCAGGAUAAGGAUUAUGCUUUCAUUUUUCUUUUUUCUUUUUUUUAUUUGUAAUCUGCCACCCUGCAUGUUUAUUUCCGGAGCUUCCUGCUAUUCGCUGAAGUCUGGUUACCUCACUGGCUGUGGAGAUAUGCUUGAUUUUAUCGGCUAUCUUGUAAGUGCAAUAAAUUUGUAAUUUUUAAUACCAUCUGCACAAUACUCUUUCCCUUUUUCCCCCCACUUAUUCACCUAUUUGGUGUUUUAUUUUUAAUUUUUUUUAUGUGUAGAUCUCAUUUAGCCCUUUUUGGUUCCUUUCCUCUUUUGGAAGCCCAGAAAUUUUUGUACGAAAGAUAUAGGAAAGCAUGUUCAAGGAGAAUGCUCCCUGUGUUCGGUAUUCUGUAACUCCCGAACUAGAACCGGCCGUAGAUCCAUGGUGUUCGUGGAAGUGCCUGGCCGAAAUGUGUUCCAAGCACUUGACGACCAGAUCCCGCUGCCAGCGUUCGGGAGACAAGAUGGCCACCAUCCAUUGUCCCAACCACGUGCGUUCGCAUGCAUGAAAUGGCAGCCACCCAGUGGAGCAUUCUAUUAAAUAUUUCCUUUGUGGUUUUCGUACUAGAUACAUAACGUUCCACGUUCUAAUUGGUCUCUGGGGUGGUCUCGGUUCGGGAACUGAACCAAAUAAACUAAACAAAACUGGGACAUGAAUCCAAACGAACAGAAAUAGCCGAACAGUGAUGGGGUAUUCCUUCACAAGGAUGAUAUCAGAGAGCUAGAGAUGGUGGUGGAUGAUAGAGAGCUAGAGAUAAGGAUAUCAGAGAUCUGGAAAUGGAGGUGGAUGCUAUCAGAGAUCUGGAAAUAGAGGUGGAUGCUAUCAGAGAGCUAGAGAAGAGUAUGAUAUCAGAGAGCUGGAAAUUGGGGUGGAUGAUAUCAAAGAGCUGGAGAUGGGGGUGGAUGUUAUCAGAGAGCUGGAGAUGGGGGUGGAUGUUAUCAGAGAGCUGGAGAUGGGGGUGGAUGUUAUCAGAGAGCUGGAGGUGGGGGGGUCGAUGAUAUCAGAGAGCUGGAGGUGGAUGAUAUCAGAGAGCUGGAGGUGGAUGAUAUCAGAGAGCU